UCGGGUACGAUUUGAUGAGUGUUAGUAUACUUAGGGUUGUUGUUGUGAUCCUGUUUCAUGUGGUGUUACAUCCCUGUGAUGGCACAUAGGUGGGCUCAUUGUGUUGUCCUCUGCUCGUCGUUGUUGAUAGUUUACUUUCUAGCUUAGCUUUACCUUUGGUUUUCAAGUUUCUUUCCGUUGUGCGUUUUAAAGCUCUAUAUUAUUUUUGUAUUUGAACUCUGUUUGUAAAGCUAAGUGUUAUACCUUAAUUUGUAUAAACUUUAUGGUGUUUGUAUUAUCUCUGCUUACCUUCGUGUGAGACUUGUGGUGUAUUGUUUCGAUCGAGAUAUCCAGUAAUUGAAUCGGGCUUGACCCGACAGACUAUUAGAUUACACCGUUUUAAGUGUGUAUUGACCGAAUUAACCAUUAAGAGGAUGGUUAGUGCACUUAAGCUAGUUUAAUUUGUGGUGUAUUAUUUCGAUUGAGAUAUUCAGUGGUUGAAUCGGACUUGACCUGACAGACUGUUAGAUUACACCGUUUUAAGUGUGUACUGACUGAAUUAACCACUAAGAGUAUGGUUAGCGCACUUAAGCUGGUUUAAUUUGGGCGGUUCUACCCUAGCAUGAAACUGGUUAAUGAUCUUGUCUACGUAGAUUCAUCCCC
This 642-nucleotide long non-coding RNA is filed under the name Setaria viridis. RNAcentral's name for it is "long non-coding RNA (SVIR_LNC008148)". The record is from RNAcentral. Lineage: Eukaryota; Viridiplantae; Streptophyta; Magnoliopsida; Poales; Poaceae.